UGGGGUAUGCAGCAUAACUGUAAAAUCCAGAGACUCACAAGAUCUGUGAGAACAUAUCUAAACUGACAGGAGAGGUGUCAUUGCCCUCUGGAACUUUCUAAUUUUGUCACACAUGUUACAAUGUAAAUUAUGGGUAAACAAGAGAGAGCUUUUCAAUUUUAAAUUAGAGUUUGUUAGGCCCAGUGGGAACUCUCACCGUGUUCUGAGGUAGGAUAAGAAGUAAGUUAUCUGGUUACUUCAGGAGUUUUACUAUUUGAUGACGGAGAACCCAGCUACCAAGACAGAAAUUAAUCCAGAAGAGGGAAAAGCUAAUUUUCACUGACUUUCCAUAUCACAGUCACUGAAUGACAAUGAUGAAACCAGCAAUAUGUGUAUUGGGUGUCUGUCCAAAGUAGAGUGGUACACAUUCCAUAUGCUUUUGCUGAGGUUAUCAUGAGAACUUUUUAUUUUUGAAAUUUUUAAUGAGCUUUAGUUGCUAACAGUCAAAGAAAAAAAUGUUAAUGGCAGACAGUUUCUCCCACGGGCAGGUUAAUUUUUGUAAUGCCUUUCCUCAAAUUGUGGAAGAUGACAGUUUCAUUGUUUAAGGAACAAGUGUCAAUAUAAGAAAUUGAAAAGAUGAAUAUGUUUAUGCUGAUUUUAACCACCUUUUGACAUGUGCUUACUUACUGAUUAGAGCAACAGGGAUAUACACACCUCCUUCACGCUUUCCAGUCUCAGAACUGACAGGUAAGAGAUCCUGGAUGUUACUGUCUCCUUUUUGUAUCUGGACUGCAUCCUGUUUCUGUUACUCUGUGCAGCUACUUGAUCCACAGGACAGCAGAAAGGAAUGCUACCAUCCUCCCUUUGCUGUCCCUCAUGCUGACUGCCUGCAGAUGUCAGCCAUCUGUCUGUCCCACCCUCCUGGCAAACGGGGAGGCUGCAGCCCAAAGUGCCUGAGGUGGGCAGGAAUGCUGCCCUCAGCCAGGAGCUGCAAGCAGAAAGAAAACGUAUGGAUGGCUACAGUCCCCAAAAUUGGUCCCAAAAGGAAUUUACUUCAGACAGACUAUUUGUAGUAUGCAAAGUCAUAUUGACUGGUUCAGUUCACUGUAUCCAAUGAAAACAAGUGGAGAUAAGGGACUGUACAUGAAUCAUACACCAAUGCAGACCAGUGCAGCAGAAGCCUGAAGUUUUAAUGCAACGAAACCAAGGAAAACAGCUGUUGUGGAGCCAAGGAAAGACUUCCUUUUGAUGUAAUCCUCAAUGUUGUUAAUCAAAGGUGCAAGGAGCCCACUCUUGGGUUACUGUGGGAAGUGACAUGAUGGUCCUGCCUCUGGGGCUGCAGGAAUAAGGAAUGGGUCCUCUCUGCAUCCACAAAGGUCAGGGAACACAAGAAGGAAAAUGCCACUGCCUUUAGCCAGAAAGACCUUUCUGAAAAUCAGUCACAUGAGAGAUUUGAUAUUUAACCUCUGUGUGCAUUUGCCCUGCCGGAUGGUCAAAGACUGGGAAGGAAAAUUGUCCAGCCAUGGCUUGGUCCCAGGUUCAUCAACACUUGGCCUUGCCUCACCUGUGCUCCAUACAAAUGCUGCUUGGCCAAGGAACUGAGGGACACAGGGCCCUCACCAGCCUGGUUUGGCUCCCCUGUGCUGCUCGCUCGGCUGGCCGUGCUGUGCCACUGACAAGAACAUGUCUGCUCACAUCGGCUCCUUCCCGGCGCCAGGGCCUGCGCCCUCACACUGCCCACGCCUCAGUGCAGAGCAGAUCUGAUUUCUUUGGUGAGUUUUAAGUGAACAAAUACUUCAGGCUCAGACCACCCUAUAUAUUUAUACACUUUAUGCAGUAUACUGAUUUAUCAUUGAGAAUUUCUUAGUAGAACAAAAGUGGAUAACAGUAUAUGUCAUGGGUAAGAACUAUUGACCGCAGUAUGACCAGUCAUUGCAGUUUUCAUAUGGGAGCUUGGCUAGGUUUCAAGGUCUGGCUGUACAGCACUCUCUGCAUAUGACACGCUACCAUUUAUUACAAAAAAAUGCCAGCCCAUGGUGCUAAUACUCACUGCUAGUUUUUAAAGAUAGGAAAAGCUAGAUUAACAUAAGGUUUUGAAGCACAAACAUGACAAUUUCUAAUGUAUACAAGUAUGUUGUCCAGCACACAACUUCCUAACUCUAUUCCCUAACAAUAACAGUGUUGCUGUUUGGAUCAUUAAAAAAAAAGAAAAAAAAUCACAAAAAGUCAGACACAGAAUUGUAAAAGUUAUUGUGUUUCGUAUGAGAUAAAUUCUGUCCGGAGCAAUGAAGUCCCAUUUUCAGUUGAAUUACAGUAUUUUACAAAUGUCAUAAAUGUGAAUAUGUUAAAAGCAGAGAAGUUUAAGGUACCAUUGUGUACUUAAGUGAUAAACAAUUGUGAACAAACUUGCCAAGGUCCAGCACUUCAGAGUAGCUAGAUAACACUGAGCAACACAAAGCAAUAAAGCCAAAUGCUCUGUACUGAUACUUCAAACUCUAUAUGCACUUAUGUCAACACACAGAGAACAGUAUCUCAUCUGUAGUAAUGCAUUUAGACAAAACAAGUGUUUGGGAAACCUACACUGGAUGCAAGUGAUGCUUUAAAAGCAAUCAUAAAAAUGAGAAUGUAAACCAAAUUCUAUCUGUCCAUGGAGACAAAAAAGAUGACAAUUUUUAUAGGAUUACUAGAUUAAUAGGUGAUUCUGAUUUUCCCACUGUUGUUGUUUUAUUCUACCUUGCUAUCUCUCUCUCCCUUACCAUCAACAGGGCAUCCAAGCCAGGAAUGCAAAGUGUUCUUCACAAGUAAUUGUGCUGGGCUAUGAAAGCAUCAUGUUAAUCUGCACACGUACUUCUUUCCUACACUGAUGAGCUUGAGAGAGCUGGUGCUAUGAAGAUUAAGGGAUGUCUGUGCAUUACUUUCAACAUACAAGUCUGCUAGAAGUUUUUGCUGUUGCUCAUUUUGAAUGUCUUAUAUAUAGUACAUUCCUUCCAGGAAUAUAUCAGAAGAGUUGCUUUGAGAAAUACAAACAAUUCUCCAUCUUUCCCAGAGUCCUGUCUCUGAAAAUAGCCAAAACCAGAAGACCAGGGAGGAAUGACAGAACAGGAGAAGCAUACAGUUGUGCUUUUCAGGAGGAUCUCCAAGGACCAGGAACCUGUACUUAGGGCAUUUCUAAGACAACAGUCUUAGAACUGUCUUUAGUAGGUGACAGCUGAAUCCACAUGUCCAUGUCUGCAACCUGUGACUGCAUGGCACUCACAUCAUCUUAAUUUAGUCCUGAUAAAAUUAAUCUGACACCUCUGAGUAAACGUUUAUUCACCAGUGUCCUGGUUUGGUCUGGAAUAAAGUUAAUUUCUUCCUAGUAGCUGAUAUAGUGCUGUGUUUUGGAUUUAGGAUGAGAAUAAUGUUGAUAACACACUGAAGCUUUAGUUGUUGUUAAGCAGUGUUUAUACUAAAUCAAGAACUUUUCAGAUUUUCAUACUGCCCUGCCAGCAGAGACUGGGAGCACACAUGAUGCUUGGAGGAGGCACAGAAAGGACAACUGACCCUAACAAGCCAAAGGGUAUUCCAUACCAUAUGACAUCAUGCUCAGUAUAUAAACUGGGGAGAGUUGACCAGGGGGCACCAUGGCUCAGGGACCGGUUGGGAAUUGGUCAGCAGGUGGUAAGCAAUGUAUUGUGCAUCAGUUGUUUUGUAUAUUCUAUUAUUACUAUUAUUUUCCUGUCUUUUUCUGACAUAUUAA
Long non-coding RNA from Tyto alba (common barn owl), 3718 nucleotides. RefSeq lists it as uncharacterized. The transcript has 3 exons. The record is from RefSeq and is a predicted model, not a curated record. NCBI's taxonomy places the organism in Eukaryota, Metazoa, Chordata, Aves, Strigiformes, Tytonidae.